AUCCUGGAACAGCGGCUUGCCUUGCACGUGUCACAAGGCUCUUGCGUUGUGUUGGUACCAAAGACAUCCUUUUCCUUCGGGGAAACAUUCUUCUAGUAAUGGCAUAGCUCAAGGGUGAGGUGUUGGAUCUUUCAGAUUCUGUCUGCAUACAUAUCAAAGCCAUUGUGCAACUGCUAGUCUUGGUUUAUUAAAUUGAGAACUGGAUUAAUAGGGGAAGCUGUGGAUCAGAACCAAGGCAUGCUGAUGCUGGGAGAACUGCCAAAAGUAAAAAGUCCAGUGAUUUGGGGUGCUCAUGCAUUGCCAGAGUCUUUUCAGGAAGGACAGUGAGGAUUACAGCAUCAGGGGUUUGCUGAGAGCCCAAGGUUCAGCUAAAGUAGCCGAGCUGUCUGAGGCAAGCUUAUAAAUCACCUGCUUGUUUUGUGGCACUGGAGCUCUUAAUCCAUUUUUCUGGACACUAAACAUGUAAAAGUCUUGGAAAAUAUAUCCAAUGGUGUUAAAUUUUAAAGUUUUUCAAAAUCUAGGCUAAGUCUACUUGUCUAGUAUUCUGGUCUUGUUGCCAAAUGCUUAAAGGUAGUAUGUUGAGAGUCACACUUAAUUUCUCCCUAUCUCUUGAUUGAUAUCUGGCUGGUACUGUGGUUGACUACAAAUAUAAACUUCAACUUCACUAAGUUGCCCACUUUUCCGUCGAAUUAUUUUCCUUCUCCUUAGUGUUUUACUUAACCUUAUUACUUCCUUAUCAUCAAUGUUUAAUAUAAAAUUAUUUCUUGAUAUCUUCUCUUUAAUUCUAACAAUACUCCUUGAUUGUAACUUUCUUGCCUGGCCUUCCUCUUUGUCUAAUCACAGCUACUUAUGUCAGCUCUUUCUCCUGUUACUUAAUUGUGAUCGUAUCCUCAGUUUAUGCCUUUGGCUUCCUGUCUCAUGUUACAGCUCCCUUCUCAGACCCUGAGUAAUCUUACUUGAGUUCACUAUCUUCAUUCACUGACACAGCUUUCUAUAAGCACUUCCAGUCAUUUUCUUGUUGUUCUUUUGGGCUUUGGCUACACUAGAGCUCUUGCUACUAACCUGUGUCUGGAUGCCACUGCAAGCUUGAAGGCUAUCCCACAGCAACAUACAUUUGUUAACAAAUAGCACAAAUUUGCUGCAGUAUUUGAGCUGUAUAAUCUACAAGGAAGAUCUACCUGUCAUCGGCCAAAUUGGUCUCCACAAACAAUACCUGCUGUAGAUGAGACAUGCUGUUAUAGUAGUUCUCAUAGUACAAGCAAAUUUCUACUCUGCUGGUACAAACAUGAGAUUUUUGGAAUUUCCUUGUUUGUGUAAGUUCCUUCGUGUACCUGGAUUUAUUAUGCUGCUCUUUGCCAACAACUGUUUCAGUCAUCUCUGAUCAUUUACUAUUGGAAGUUUGUGGAAUAUAUUGGAAAAAUCACAGAAUCAGCAUGGUAUUCACUUCCUCUGGGUAUCUGUGGAUUCUCUGACAUAUGGAUACAGCCACAGCUGAACUAUGAUGUGGAAUAAUUUGGCAUGUGUUUGGAUAUGCAAAUAUUUUGCGGAGUUGGAUACAAUUUGCUCAGAAAAACUGUUCUGGGAGAAAAGCUGGAAUGAGCACUACCUUCAGAAGGAAGCACAUCACCAACUAUUCCAGGAGAGCAAGGAUUCUUCUUUCACAGUCAAUGAGGAUUAUAUUCUUGAUACUUUCAUUUGUGGAUUGCAAGAUGUUCUUAAGUAGAGCUGCUGCUAUUUCACUGGAUUGUAGAAGGUCUAUGUAGAGGAGGCUGAGGAGUAUGCUCCUUGUGGCACAAAGAUAUUGUGGUACCAAGACCCCACUGAGAUCCUGGGAAUAAACCAUUUUGAGCUACCCCAUUGAUGGCAGCAUCAAAGAAGUCUGAAGAAACCACUUUUUGAAGUGUGGAGUGUCUUCUGAACCAGAGCCUAUUUGGUAGCAAGGAAACAACUGGGAAAUGUUGGUACAUCCAUUGUGUGGAAGGAAUGUGACCCCAUCUGGGAAUGACAAAAGCAAAGUGCUUGAUUAAAUCCCAGCUCAGCUCUCAACAAUUGGGAAAAUGUGGGGAAAAAGUCUGAAAGAAAACAAAACUUAAAUUACAAGACAAGCUUAGUCAGGAAGACUAAGAAUUCAUCAAGGGCCAUCUCUGAUAAAAGACAUGAGACUACAGAAGAGACAUUUGAACUUUUUCUUGUAGGACUACCAGCAACUCACAGUUAGUGUAAACAAAGUCUGGUCACUUUCCGUGUUGGCAGAUUGUGUUCAGGUGGCUUCCAUGGGUUUUGCUGAAGAGGAUUUGUAUAACUGAAGUGGAGGGUGUCAGCUAAGUUUAGACAGCAGAUCUGUGAUGUCAACAUCUCUUAAUGUCUUGUAUCUGAAGAUACAUAAAUGCUGAUAACAUUUGAUGUAGCUACUUGGAUCUCAAAUCCUCUACUAGCUAAGGAAUUGGUCACAGUAAGCAACUAUCAUCUUUGCCUCUUGGCCACUGGGAACAGCUAGCCCCCUAUUUUCCACCAUACAAAACAGAAUUAGAUUCAUGCUUGGUCAAGGUGUCUUUUUUUUUUAAAAAAAAAAAAGUUAUGCCUAAUGGCAUGUACACUUCUGCGGCUGCAAGACCGGUGGUCUUCUCUUUGUUUUCUAGGGUUGGACGGAGUAAACAGCAGGCGAAAUGAUACUUCGAGAUGCAUUGAUAGCCAAUCCACCUUGCUUGGCUUUCACAGUCAUUUUCCGCUAUCCUUUGAUACUUAUAUUCUGUCCAUAGUUGAACUGUCACCUGAGUACAUGAACUUGUGGGAAGCAGUCACUCUGAGGAUUAAGUCAUUUAUUGGCCUAUUCUAUUUGUAAAAUGGCUUUGUCCUUAUUUGACACAGGAUUUUUCCUGUCCUUAUUUUGAAUGAGAGUUUUAAGACUCAAAUUUUCUUAGCACUGACAGCAUUUGAGAAGAUCAUUCUAUGCAUAUUUGCUUCCCUCCUUAAAUGUACAGUAUCCCUUAAUCUCUCAUCAUGCUACACGUUAAGUAUAGAUAGGAGUAUCUUCUAUCACAUCUUAGAACUGGGUUUCUGAUUCAGUUUUGGGACUCAGAGGUGCAUAGAUUCAUUUACAGGUCCUGAAAGUCAUGAUGCCCAACUAUCCAUAUUCCAUAGAACCAUUAAAUAUGGCAUAGGAGUGAUAAGCAUACAUAUGUAACAUUUUGUGUAUAAUACAGCACUACAGUACCUAGUGAGAACUCCUGAUUGCGUUGCUCAAGCGAUUAGUGUUAUCCAUGGUAGCAAAGAAAUGAUGAAAAUCCUCAAUCAGGUGGUCUUGUACUACCUGCUGAGAAGACAUUUUUGUUCCCUGAUUCUUGAAGUUACUGCUGUUUAGCGCCUCCUGGUAGUUCUCAUGCUCUUCUGUACAAAUAGGGAGCAGUGUUUUUAGUAUGGACAAAUAAAUAUUCUGCUCAGGUUUAUGCUUGAGCUAUCCAGUAUGAUUGCA
Anas platyrhynchos (mallard) is the source of this 3472-nucleotide non-coding RNA. The record is from RefSeq and is a predicted model, not a curated record. NCBI's taxonomy places the organism in Eukaryota, Metazoa, Chordata, Aves, Anseriformes, Anatidae.